CGAUUUUGGUCUUCUUCUUCCUCUUGAAGAACACUUUGUACCCAAAAUUGAAAUCUUCAUAACUCUCUCGAUUCUUAACGGAUUUGGACGAUUUUUGGCUCUAAACCACUCGAUUUUUUGCCCUCUUUCUGUUGGUGGUGGUUGUUUGAUCGAUCUACAUAGGUAUGAGUUCGAAAUUCCCUAUUUACAGUCCGAAUUUGCAUGGUUUGUCUCUAAAACUCCAAAUUUCUAGUUUCUUUGUGUUGAAUGGUGAAAUUCUGUUGGAUUCUAGUCUAUACUAGGUUGGGAAGCUUGUUUAUGGUGUUUAAUUGCUAAAUUAUUGGAAAUUUGGAAGUUUGAUUUUUUGACUUUUGAGUAAAAUCGGGAAUGAACUUAAAAUUUGAUAGGG
RNAcentral lists this long non-coding RNA (388 nucleotides) under Capsella rubella. Its description in RNAcentral is "long non-coding RNA (CRUB_LNC002218)". The record is from RNAcentral. Lineage: Eukaryota; Viridiplantae; Streptophyta; Magnoliopsida; Brassicales; Brassicaceae.